GGGCCGCUAGCUCAAUGGCAGAGCGCCGGUCUUUUAAACCGUGCGGUCCGGGUUCGACCCCCGGGCGGCCCA
This 72-nucleotide transfer RNA is filed under the name uncultured Acidimicrobiales bacterium. RNAcentral's name for it is "tRNA-Lys-TTT". It matches the Rfam family "tRNA". From Rfam's summary of the family: Transfer RNA (tRNA) molecules are approximately 80 nucleotides in length. Their secondary structure includes four short double-helical elements and three loops (D, anti-codon, and T loops). Further hydrogen bonds mediate the characteristic L-shaped molecular structure. tRNAs have two regions of fundamental functional importance: the anti-codon, which is responsible for specific mRNA codon recognition, and the 3' end, to which the tRNAs corresponding amino acid is attached (by aminoacyl-tRNA synthetases). tRNAs cope with the degeneracy of the genetic code in two manners: having more than one tRNA (with a specific anti-codon) for a particular amino acid; and 'wobble' base-pairing, i.e. permitting non-standard base-pairing at the 3rd anti-codon position. The record is from RNAcentral. Lineage: Bacteria; Bacillati; Actinomycetota; Acidimicrobiia; Acidimicrobiales.